AUUGAACGCUGGCGGCAUGCUUUACACAUGCAAGUCGAACGGUAACAGGCCGCAAGGUGCUGACGAGUGGCGAACGGGUGCGUAAUGCAUCGGAACGUGCCCAGUCGUGGGGGAUAACUACUCGAAAGAGUAGCUAAUACCGCAUACGAUCUAUGGAUGAAAGCGGGGGACCGUAAGGCCUCGCGCGAUUGGAGCGGCCGAUGUCAGAUUAGGUAGUUGGUGGGGUAAAGGCUCACCAAGCCAACGAUCUGUAGCUGGUCUGAGAGGACGACCAGCCACACUGGGACUGAGACACGGCCCAGACUCCUACGGGAGGCAGCAGUAGGGAAUUUUGGACAAUGGGCGCAAGCCUGAUCCAGCAAUGCCGCGUGCAGGAAGAAGGCCUUCGGGUUGUAAACUGCUUUUGUACGGAACGAAACAGCUCUGGUUAAUACCCGGGGCUAAUGACGGUACCGUAAGAAUAAGCACCGGCUAACUACGUG
This 482-nucleotide ribosomal RNA is filed under the name uncultured bacterium. RNAcentral describes it as "partial 16S ribosomal RNA". It matches the Rfam family "Bacterial small subunit ribosomal RNA", at positions 30 to 507 of the family's 1533-position model. The record is from RNAcentral.